CCUACGGGCGGCAGCAGUGAGGAAUAUUGGUCAAUGGGCGAGAGCCUGAACCAGCCAAGUCGCGUGAGGGAGUACUGCCCUAUGGGUUGUAAACCUCUUUUGUCGGGGAGCAAAAGCCGGACGUGUCCGGCUGUGAGAGUACCCGAAGAAAAAGCAUCGGCUAACUCCGUGCCAGCAGCCGCGGUAAUACGGAGGAUGCGAGCGUUUUCCGGAUUUAUUGGGUUUAAAGGGUGCGCGGGCGGAUUUUUAAGUCAGCGGUAAAAACGGGGGGCUAAACCCCGUCCAGCGGUGGAAACUGGGGAUCUGGAGUGUGCGGAAGGUAUGCGGAAUGCGUGGUGUAGCGGUGAAAUGCUUAGAUAUCACGCAGAACCCCGAUUGCGAAGGCAGCAUACGGGUGCACAACUGACGCUCAGGCUCGAAGGCGUGGGUAUCGAACAGGAUUAGAUACCCGAGUAGUC
This 458-nucleotide ribosomal RNA is filed under the name uncultured bacterium. RNAcentral describes it as "partial 16S ribosomal RNA". It matches the Rfam family "Bacterial small subunit ribosomal RNA", at positions 338 to 795 of the family's 1533-position model. The record is from RNAcentral.